UCUUCUCCUUCUUCUGCUGCUUCCUUCUUCCUCCGGCACGGAUCUCCUAUUUGAUUUUCCGGCGAAGAUCAGAGACCUUAACCUUUUCCCUUCAGAAGAUGUCAACAUCGUUCGCCACCCUAAUUGCCACGCCAACAAACUCGUCGAGAAACCCCUCAGAUUCCCAAACUUGUUGCCUACACAGUCUGGCGUUUCACUCGACAAUUUGGCUCAUUCCGCUGGUUACUAUCCUAUCUCCCAUUCUAAUGCAGCCAGGUUUGCUUCUUUUUUUUUUUUUUUUAAAUAAAAAAUUGAUUGAAUGUAUAUGUUUUUCACUGUACCUUACGUUCAUGUCGAGUUAAAUGGUAAAACCCCAGCUUUAUUGUUGAUAGUAUCAUUUGUUGUUUAACCUUGUGUUUCUUUUCAGGAAAACAAAACAAGAAAAACAUUAACCCUUUCAGUUAUGGUUACGUUUGGCUAAACGACUUAUUUAAUACGCGAACAACGCUUAUGUUAUAUAGAUUGGCUUUAGCCUGUGGAGAAAACUUAAUUCAUUUUACCUCCAGAACUUGUAGAUAAGUUUUUAGUUGUUUUCAUAUGAGUUCUAAUUAGUUUCAUGAGCUAUUCUGGAGAGCUUAUUAAAUUAAUUAGAAACUAUUUUUUGGAGCACUUUAUAUUAGGAUGAAGAGGGGAAAAGAAAAUGGUUGAAUUAAAUAUUCUUAAUUCUUUUAUGUCGGUGAAAUAUGAUUGUUGCGGGGAAAAUGCUGCAAAUCCUUGGUAUGCAUUUGUUAUUUAUUUUUGGGUUUGGGUUGAAUGGUGCAGGAUGUUCUACUUUUUCUUUGAAUCACGGAACAGCAAGAAGGAUCCUGUUGUGAUUUGGUUAACCGGGGGACCUGGUUGUAGUAGUGAAUUGGCUGUGUUUUAUGAAAAUGGCCCUUUUAAGAUUGCUGACAAUAUGUCCCUUGUGUGGAAUGAUUAUGGUUGGGACAAGGUAAUCCUCAUACCAUUUGUUGCCUUUCAACUGCGCCUUUCCUACGUUAUGAUUAUCUUGUAUGAGGUCUUGAUAAAUUGCCUGGUGUCCUUUCAGGUGUCCAAUCUUCUCUAUGUUGACCAACCAACUGGAACUGGCUUUAGUUACAGUACGGACAAGCGUGACAUUCGUCAUGAUGAAGAAGGAGUGAGCAAUGACUUGUAUGACUUUUUACAGGUACUUGUGUUAGCUCAAAACACUCGUUAUACAACAUUAAUGCAGUGUCUACUUAUUUGGUUUCCUGACUUGUAUUUAUUGUUUCUUUUCUGGAACAGAAGCUGUAUCUCCUAUCUUUUUAUUCUCUAACACUUCUUAAUGGCUCUUCUUAGAAGACCAAAACUAAGCAAUGUGUCGUUAUCUUGAAUUUUGAUUUAAACACCUUGCUUAGCUUGAUCAGCAAUGUCUUGUCUUAGCAAAGUUUUCUGUUUAUCCUACAGGCUUUCUUUGCUGAACAUCCUGAGUAUGCAGAGAAUGACUUUUUCAUUACGGGUGAAUCAUAUGCUGGACAUUAUAUUCCAGCUUUUGCAGCUCGAGUCCAUAGGGGAAACAAAGCUAAAGAAGGGAUUCAUAUAAACCUAAAGGUUUGUUACAUUAAUAUGUGAGCUAUUCUUUCUUGAGUUUUAGAUAUACGAUGAAAGGUGAGUAGACUUGCUUGGCUAACUGGAAGUGGUUAAACAGGGAUUUGCCAUUGGUAAUGGGCUUACUGAUCCGGCGAUUCAGUAUAAAGCAUACACAGAUUAUGCACUGGACAUGGGCAUAAUUCAGAAGACUGACUAUGAUCGCAUCAACAAAUUGAUGGUCCCGGCCUGCGAAUUGGCAAUAAAAUUAUGUGGUAUUUCGCAUGUGAUUUUGUUGCAUGCUCUGCUUUCAGUGGAUUUUGUGUUUCUUAUAUUUCGUAAUUAGAAGCUAAGGCUAUAAUUGAAUUAAACAGAGAGAAAUGCCAUAAGUAUUCUUGUGUUUAUUUUAAUGAAUACUAAAGACUUCCGUAAAUCAGUUAUAUAAUAUUGUGCUUUAGAAUUGUCUAUUGUCCCCAACUUAUCCUACAAUAAUGUAAACUGGAUAUUCAUAUUAUUUUCAGAAGUAUGUAAUAACUAUCCUGACAAUAAAUGCAUAUUACUUUUUUCCAAAAUGACCUAGUGGGAUAAAGGCUUUGUUGUUGUUUGCUUAAGUGCAUACUACUUUUUUAUUAUGAAUUCUUAGAAGGAAGUUCUCCAAUCAUAUUUAGAGUUUUACGUUGAUAAUGUGCAAUGGAUUUAAUGGGAGACCGACAGCCACAGUACUUAUGUCACUUUAAGUAGGUUUUAUCCUUGUAUGAAAUACUUUUAAAAUUCAACAUAUAAUCGUGGAUUUUAACUUUCAGCAAUCAUGUGGCAUUUAAGCAAGUUUUAUAAUCCUGAUCAAUGAACCAAGAAUUAACUGGUUCUCACUUGCUUAAAAAAUCCUUUCAGGUACUGAUGGAACAAUUGCGUGCACGGCUUCAUAUUUUGUUUGUAAUACGAUAUUCAAUUCCAUCUUGUCACAUACUGACAAUAUCAAUGUGGGUAACAAAGUUUCUUCCUCUUCUGCGAGUUUUAGAUGUUUGUUGUAGUACCCUAGUUUACUUGUUUGCGGAAUAUAAUUAACUCUACUGAAUUAUUUGGGAGCCCCUUAAGCAUGAAACAUGGUCAAAAUACAGGCCUUUUUGUUGAUAGAUAUUCUGAUACCAUGUUAAUAUAUGUCUCAAUCUAAAAAGUCUGUUGUCAAGUUCGAAGUGAAGAUGGAUUUUGAUUUUCUUGAGCGAAUUUCAUAAAUUUAACUUGCGAGUUUUUUCUUCCAAGAAUAACUUCCGAAAAAAUAAAUUAACAUCAACAUGUUAUAUGAUCGAAGUAACCAGUUUAUGUGAUGGUAGCACAUAAUUAUGUCUGACGUAUUUUCUCUAAAAAUGAACAGGCAUCUGGUUAAUCGACUUGCCUAACCAACUCUGUAAUUCAUCGUUGAUUACUUUCUCAGUGGAGUAUAUUUUGGACAAGAAAUUUUAAGCUUUUACUGUGCUGGUUAGCAAGAAGAUUUUGAUAUAUUGACAUCUAUGGAGAUUGUGCCAAGUCUUGAAAGUUUUGACCAGCUACUGUAUUCUUGUAUUGCAGUAUUAUGACAUCAGGAAGAAGUGUGAGGGUAGCCUCUGCUAUGAUUUUUCGAACAUGGAAAAAUUCUUGAGCAUAAAAUCUGUUCGGGAUGCACUAGGAGUUGGAGAUAUUGCUUUUGUGUCUUGUAGUUCCAC
This 3266-nucleotide long non-coding RNA is filed under the name Vigna radiata. RNAcentral's name for it is "long non-coding RNA (VRAD_LNC009218)". Lineage: Eukaryota; Viridiplantae; Streptophyta; Magnoliopsida; Fabales; Fabaceae. The record is from RNAcentral.